CUCUCGAUAAAUUUUAAACACUUCAAAAUUUUUCUAGAACCUCCCCAAGCCCCUUAUCUCUUCUUUCUUUUUUGUCCACGCCCCCUCCCUUUCUCAUUUUAUAAAACAUCGCAAGAGAUGUUGAAAGCGUGUGAGUAGAUAAGAAGAGAUGGUUGCUCACUUAAAUUCAAAUCAAAUUUGAAUUCAAGUGUCAACCAAUCUUAUCCUCAUCUACUUGUGCGAGAAAGAAGAGAUGGCGUGGUCUUUUUUUUCUUUUUUUUGUGCGUGGAGACUUUCACGAGAAACCAUUUCUCGUGUGGAAUAUGGGGCACACAAAAGAGGAUAAGCUGGCGCAUGGUUAUUUGGUUAUCCAUUCAAAUUCAAAAUCUCUUUGAAUUUGGAUGGGUAACAAAUCAAGUUAAUCCAAAUAAUUGACACACAGAAAUAUGGGCGUGAGAGAGCUUUGCAUGGGAGAAAAUUCAUGAAAAAAUUUCUUCUCGUGAAUUCAAAUGGGCGCAAGGAAGUUGGGUGGCGCAGGAAAUUUAAAACAAAGUGGUUUGAUUCAAAUUAAGCCAACCUAAUUAAAAUAGGUUAAGCACAAUUAGACCAGAUUAAACCCAACACAAUUAGGCUUAAUUAGGCUCAAUAAAAUUCUAAUCAAAUCAGGAAUUAACUAAGUCUAACCCCUGAUCAAAUCAGGGACUAAAUCACCUUAGCGAUUAGAUCAACACUUAACCUAAUCGGGUCAAUCCAAACUGAAUCCAAUUCAAUUGGACUUGAUCUAAAAAUAAUUACUCAAUCAAAUUGAGUUAAUUAACGAUCAAAUCACUAAUUAAACCUCUCAUAAAUAUUGAGUCCAAAUCCGAUGGGCAAUUAGGCAUCAGAGACCAUCGAUAU
RNAcentral lists this long non-coding RNA (876 nucleotides) under Elaeis guineensis (African oil palm). RNAcentral describes it as "long non-coding RNA (EGUI_LNC037534)". The record is from RNAcentral. Lineage: Eukaryota; Viridiplantae; Streptophyta; Magnoliopsida; Arecales; Arecaceae.